CCUACGGGUGGCAGCAGUGAGGAAUAUUGGUCAAUGGGCGGAAGCCUGAACCAGCCAAGUCGCGUGAGGGAAUAAGGCCCUACGGGUCGUAAACCUCUUUUGCCGGGGAGCAAGGGCGGGGACGUGUCCCGGCCCGGAGAGUACCCGGAGAAAAAGCAUCGGCUAACUCCGUGCCAGCAGCCGCGGUAAUACGGAGGAUGCGAGCGUUAUCCGGAUUUAUUGGGUUUAAAGGGUGCGUAGGCGGGCUUUUAAGUCAGCGGUAAAAAUUCGGGGCUCAACCCCGUCCGGCCGUUGAAACUGGGGGCCUUGAGUGGGCGAGAAGAAGGCGGAAUGCGUGGUGUAGCGGUGAAAUGCAUAGAUAUCAGGAGGAACAUCGGUGGCGUAAGCGCUUUACUGGGCCGUAAUUGACGCUGAGGAACGAAAGCCAGGGUAGCAAAUGGGAUUAGAUACCCGGGUAGUC
RNAcentral lists this ribosomal RNA (460 nucleotides) under uncultured bacterium. RNAcentral describes it as "partial 16S ribosomal RNA". It matches the Rfam family "Bacterial small subunit ribosomal RNA", at positions 338 to 795 of the family's 1533-position model. The record is from RNAcentral.